This 1341-nucleotide ribosomal RNA is filed under the name synthetic construct. Its description in RNAcentral is "bacterial SSU rRNA". It matches the Rfam family "Bacterial small subunit ribosomal RNA", at positions 37 to 1398 of the family's 1533-position model. RNAcentral also lists the same sequence under 1 other name. The record is from RNAcentral.
UGGCGGCGCGCCUAACACAUGCAAGUCGAACGAGCGAGAGAGAGCUUGCUUUCUCGAGCGAGUGGCGAACGGGUGAGUAACGCGUGAGGAACCUGCCUCAAAGAGGGGGACAACAGUUGGAAACGACUGCUAAUACCGCAUAAGCCUACGGGUCGGCAUCGACCAGAGGGAAAAGGAGCAAUCCGCUUUGAGAUGGCCUCGCGUCCGAUUAGCUGGUUGGUGAGGUAACGGCCCACCAAGGCGACGAUCGGUAGCCGGACUGAGAGGUUGAACGGCCACAUUGGGACUGAGACACGGCCCAGACUCCUACGGGAGGCAGCAGUGGGGAAUAUUGCACAAUGGGGGAAACCCUGAUGCAGCGACGCCGCGUGGAGGAAGAAGGUCUUCGGAUUGUAAACUCCUGUUGUUGGGGAAGAUAAUGACGGUACCCAACAAGGAAGUGACGGCUAACUACGUGCCAGCAGCCGCGGUAAAACGUAGGUCACAAGCGUUGUCCGGAAUUACUGGGUGUAAAGGGAGCGCAGGCGGGAAGACAAGUUGGAAGUGAAAUCUAUGGGCUCAACCCAUAAACUGCUUUCAAAACUGUUUUUCUUGAGUAGUGCAGAGGUAGGCGGAAUUCCCGGUGUAGCGGUGGAAUGCGUAGAUAUCGGGAGGAACACCAGUGGCGAAGGCGGCCUACUGGGCACCAACUGACGCUGAGGCUCGAAAGUGUGGGUAGCAAACAGAAUUAGAUCCCCUGGUAGUUCCCCCCGUAAAACGACCUUAAAGGGUGUUGGAGGAUUGACCCCUUCCGUGCCGCAGUUAACACAAAUAAGUAAUCCCUCUGGGGAGUACGACCGCAAGGUUGAAACUCAAAGGAAUUCACGGGGGCCCGCACAAGCAGUGGAGUAUGUGGUUUAAUUCGACGCAACGCGAAGAACCUUACCAAGUCUUGACAUCCCUUGACAGACAUAGAAAUAUGUAUUCUCUUCGGAGCAAGGAGACAGGUGGUGCAUGGUUGUCGUCAGCUCGUGUCGUGAGAUGUUGGGUUAAGUCCCGCAACGAGCGCAACCCUUAUGGUCAGUUACUACGCAAGAGGACUCUGGCCAGACUGCCGUUGACAAAACGGAGGAAGGUGGGGAUGACGUCAAAUCAUCAUGCCCUUUAUGACUUGGGCUACACACGUACUACAAUGGCGUUAAACAAAGAGAAGCAAGACCGCGAGGUGGAGCAAAACUCAGAAACAACGUCCCAGUUCGGACUGCAGGCUGCAACUCGCCUGCACGAAGUCGGAAUUGCUAGUAAUCGUGGAUCAGCAUGCCACGGUGAAUACGUUCCCGGGCCUUGCACACAGCGCCCGUC